CAUGAAAGCGAGUUUUUCAAGGAUUCUCUUCUUAUGAAGCAUCCGUCGAGCUGUAAGAAAAGACGGACAGAAUGUAUUUUUUAAACCUUACAUUUUUUAUAGAGCAGAGAAGUUUAAUAGGUUCGAUUCAUCCCCCCGUCAAUUACCUCUCAGUCUUCCGAGAGGAGCUCUCACUCUCCUGAUAGGAGGCAAUCUGGACGGUUCCUCCUCAACCUGAUUUUCUUCAGUCUGAUUUUCUGUAUCGGUCUCUGUCGGGGAAAAUAAAACAGAAGAGAUUUAAGAAAACAAUCUCAUCCUUCCUAUUUUUCGAGAAUGAAAAAACUUUUUUAUUUACCUCGCUCCUCCGCCCGAUUGUCUGUAGCGGCGGGGGAUUGGUUAGGUAUAUCCGCAAUCUCGGCUGCCGAGAAAUAAAACAGAAAAGAGAAAGAUUUAAUAAAAAAAAAAAAAAAAAAAAAAAACUUUUUAGCUCGCUUUAUACCACUCCAAGUCGGGAGGGGCGGUAUAGCACACUCGGAUUACUCCGCCACAUCCUGAUAUUUAUCGAAAUGACGGAUAUUGCAUCAUAUUGUUUACCUUUUGGUUUAAAAGGUAUUUUCCUGCAGUUCUCCCGGUAUGCGUUGACGAAAAUAACGUCGUCGUCGUCUUCUUCUUCUUUUCGCUGCGGCGGGGUCUGUAUAUUCUCGGUUACCUCUGUCGAGAAAUAAAGCAAAACUUUUUUAAAAAUCUGCUCCGGGUCGGGAGGGGCGGUAUAGCACACUCGGAUUACUCCGUCACAUCCUGUUAUUCAACAAAAUGGCUGAUAAUGCAUCAUAUUGUUUACCUUCGAUUUUAAAACUUUUUUCUCCGCGGUUCUCCCGGUAUGCGGAGACGGAAAUAGUGCCGUCUUCUCUUCGAUGCGGCGGCAGCGGAGAUUCUGCGGGGGAUAUGGCUUCUAAUUCGCCGUGGAAAACGGCCGGAUUUCUGCUGUUACUCACUGCAUUAUCGAUUGUUUCUGUAAGUAUCAGAGCAUGGUUAAAUCAAGUCUAUCUAAACUUGUUUAAAAAAUGGUAUAUACUUAUUUAAACGUACCGUAGUCCACUUGCGUGAAAUCAUUGAUGUAGAAAUCUAAAAGAAAGUAAUCAAAUUAUUGACAUCUCUGUUGAUAUAUAAUUUAAAGUCGUAAAGAAAAAAACUUACCGGGGUGAGGUAUGAACAGAUCCGGCGAGAUGGCCCUCUGAUCGGCGGCGUUGUUUGAACGGGAUGCUGACAUAAUAUUCUCGGAUUCUUCCUCGCGAUUGGUAGAACUGUCACAGAUAGCGACUCCCCUUCCGCUUCUUCUCUCAUUUUAUCCUAGUCUAGCGAAGCAUCUGUUUUUCGCAUCUUUCUCUUGACAAUACCGGUAGUUAGAGGGGGUUUGUUUUUUUUUUGAUUGCCUUCUUGCGAACGCCGUCUGUUUUCCCCCAUUCCGCAACGGUAAAAUAUGGCUUUGAGACGGGUAUUUGUUUUACCAAAUGGACAAUUGCUGUCUGACCUUGUUCUUGCUGUUGACAAAACUCGGCUCAUGGUUGACUCGUUCCCACAGAGGGGGUGCUUUAAUAAACUUAUUCGAAUAAUUAGAUUUUUUUUCCUCGCUAAGACUAGUUUUAUGGGGAGAUGUAAAAAACAGGGUUACAAGCAAUGAUAAUAUCGGAUGCUGACUCCUCAGCGUCAUCAUUUUCUAUCUAUUGAGAAAACUUAUUGUAAAAAGUAAUGAAGAAAAAAACUCCUCCUUGCCUCGCGG
Astatotilapia calliptera (eastern happy) is the source of this 1759-nucleotide long non-coding RNA. The record is from Ensembl. NCBI's taxonomy places the organism in Eukaryota, Metazoa, Chordata, Actinopteri, Cichliformes, Cichlidae.